GGAAAUCAUAGUUUUAGCCCUAGCAAUACGCAACGGCUCACGGCAGCAACUCAUAGAUAUUAUAAUACCGCAUCUUUUCUUACUGAGAUAAUAAUACAAGAACGGUAGAGUGCGCGCAAAACAAGUAGUCCAACCUGAACACGAGGCUGAGUG
This is a long non-coding RNA of Maniola jurtina (meadow brown), 153 nucleotides long. RefSeq lists it as uncharacterized. The record is from RefSeq and is a predicted model, not a curated record. The transcript is spliced from 3 exons. NCBI's taxonomy places the organism in Eukaryota, Metazoa, Arthropoda, Insecta, Lepidoptera, Nymphalidae.